GAGAGACUUCGAGCUUGAGAGAGGGAGGGGAGAGGAGAGGAGGGAGAAGGAAAUGACAGAGAGAGAGAGAGAAAGGAGAGAGAGAACGCAGAGGGAGGGAGGCAGGGAGGGAGACCAAACCCCCGCUUUACUGCGUUGAAAGCUUCUGAAUUUCAAGCAGAAAGUAGAAGGAGCUCCAAAGGCAGUGAGCGUCUUUCCUUGGGCUGCGUGUGCCGAGCGUAGACAAUGAAAAUCUUCAUCCCCCUCCCCCAUUCUACUAGGCUACAAGAUUCUUGUUUUCGUUCCUUCUCACCGGUGGAAGAUGUGUAAAAUCAAAGAUGUAGAGGUGUGUAGUGAUUUUUUUAAAAGCCAACUAACCACCGCACGGACUGCGACGCGGAUUACCCGAGCGCACGCCGGCUGGGCGCAUUCUGGGGUCUCUGCGCAAGACCAGCUCUCAGCUCUCUCUCCUUUCCUCGGACUCUGGAGCGGGAGCGGGCCUUUCCCUCGGGUCGACCACGCCGUAGGGGACGCCGUGAAAAGAGCCGUCGCGCCCGCUGCCUCCUGCCCGCUGCGCAGAGGGCUCCGCCCGUAGAGGGGUUGGGAACAAAGGAGAGGAGCUAAGAGGAUGCACCAAAGUAGCCGCGCCCUCCCUGCCUGGCGCUGUCCGCGGUGCUGACCGUGGCCCUUUUCUCUCUCCGUAAUCAAACUGGAAAAGCAAUAGGACCGUCCCGUCCCUACUCAAAAGAAGAGUAGGAUAUUAGUAUUCAUCCAAUUGCGCUGAUCUCCUGCAUCCACAUCUUGCGUAAUCCACAAAGCAGCUAUGGUCCAGGGCUGCAAAAUCGUCCUGCCUGAUUCCUUUAGAAUUCAUACUACCUCAGAGGAGCAAACCUAAUCCCCUCAGCCUAAUCCUACCUGUUUAGGAUCAUCUAAACUUGUCCUUCAGAAAGCUUGAUCAGUUUAAAAUUGCUUUCUAAAUAGAAAUGAAAUACGUGAUAUGAGAGAGGUUAAAAUACUGCUUAAAAAGGGAAACACUCAAUUUAGUAAUUCGGUUGCCUAGAUGAAAUCGAGUGGCUAUUGAUCCGUGAUGUUUCUAGAUUUUUAAGACUAUGUACUUCCUAUUUCUUUGGAAAAUAAUCAUCCAGUUUGAUGCCCAUUACAAAUUUUCCUGCUAUGAAAGAAAUUCUAUGCGCGGCAGUUUUGCAAUAAAACAACCCGGGCUUCGCAAUGGGAGAACUUCGGUGCGGCGUGCCGUGAGAGUCCUUUGACAAUCUCAGCUUUCAUCUAGGUCUGAAAUUAAAGCUUCUCGGAAUAAUUUAGGAACAGCUUGACCCGUUGAGAUACUCAAGGACAACCCUCCAGGGAAAUAGUAUGUUUCCUUCCUGGGAACAAGAUGCUAGCGCGGUGCACCGGGAGGUAUCUGGUGUCAACAAUGCCAGAGCGCCCUCUGCUGCCUCAAAGAGGCAGGACACCAGUUACAAAAGCCAGAUGGCACAGUGGCAAUAAGCGGAGGAAACAUUAAGCUCUUAGAAACGUUUAAUCUGUGAAAUUUAAAAGCUCUCAUCAUAUUCUACUUUUGAAAGGGCCACCUGAUUUUGAUUUUGAGCACUCCUUGGAUGUUAUCUUCUAUUCUGGAGGAUAAUGAAAAGUCCGUGUUUUGAAGUUUUCAGAUUAUUUCUGUAGUUAUAUUUCUCCACUCUUUCUCGAAUUUUAUAUGGAAAUACGAAAUUGCAAAUCUAAGUGAAAAACCUUUGUGUAAAACAGGUGAGUGGAGAAGA
Molecule: long non-coding RNA, 1757 nt
Filed under: Homo sapiens (human)
Lineage: Eukaryota; Metazoa; Chordata; Mammalia; Primates; Hominidae
Description: HSALNT0347364
Source: RNAcentral